GACGAGGUCGUAGCUCCGACGACCACGCCACAGGCGGCGCAAAGAGCUGACGGCCCAGAUCCUGGCAUCGGGAGCCACGCCGCUGCGCCCGCCGAUGGCGACGGCGAGGAGGAGGAGGAGGCCCCGUCGCCGCGUCCGUCCUCCGCCGGCUGCUACACCUUCCUCCGCUCCGCGUCUCGCCGCGGCGGGCACUGGCGCCUCGACUCCUCCGCCUCCGCGUCCGCGGCGGCGCAUGUGGGUGGAGGUGGGGACGACGAAGGGAGAGAGGAACUUGUUCCCCCGUCGACCUGGCCGUGCUCGAGGCCGGGCCGGUGCGGCGCCUCCUCGCGGCGGCCGGGCGGCGGACCCGCGGUGGCGGUCGCCGUGGACGCGUUGCUGUUCGAGCACCUGUGGUGGCUGCAGCCGACGCCGACUUCGUCCCUCCCCUCACCAUCGUGGGUCAUCGAUUCCCCUAACAGCCGACCCCUCGCGCCGCCCGACUCCGUCGACGUCAUCCCUCCCCUUGCCAUCGUCGGCCGACGCGCCGCCACCGCGCCGCCGCCGCCCUCCCACGCAGCAGAUCCAUGCCGCAAGACGUCCAUCGGCCACAACCGUCGCUGCCCUCCCCUGCAGCAGAUCCACGCCACCGGCCGCCGCCCUCGAUCACAACGUGAUUUGGAGGUGGAGAAGCUUGGCUGCGGCUUCUUCGCCAACACCAGGGUCAACCUUGCCAACGAUAUGGUUGGGUUGGACUCUAUGAGGGUUUCGAGGGCGUGUGCAUUUGUUGACCAUGGCUGCGGGUGCUGGGAUGUCGGUAGCGGUCGUUGUAGUGGCUGCGGCGACGAUUGCUUCUUCCUUGGAUGGGAGCCACCGUUCGCCGACCUUGCUGCCGCCGACGCCCGCAUAUCCUUCCAUGUCUGUGUGCCAGAGGAUUUGUGGGAUGCAAGCAGCAGCAGAAACAGCGACCGAGCACGUCCGAUUCCAGCUACGUUCAGCGUCAUGUAUGGGAAGGUGGGGAUCAGUGCCGACACACACCCCCAGUUCUACCUCCGAUUAUUUCUUCAGCGAUAGUCUUAAUUAAUAGCUCUUGUGGCCAGUCAUUGACAGGCAUGGUGUGUACUUAACUGCUUAUUGAAAUGGUCAGGUUUACUUUCCAUUCGU
Molecule: long non-coding RNA, 1140 nt
Filed under: Oryza sativa Indica Group (long-grained rice)
Lineage: Eukaryota; Viridiplantae; Streptophyta; Magnoliopsida; Poales; Poaceae
Description: lncRNA OsLima_02g0003520
Source: RNAcentral